AUUGAACGCUGGCGGCAGGCCUAACACAUGCAAGUCGAGCGGUAGCACAGAGAGCUUGCUCUCGGGUGACGAGCGGCGGACGGGUGAGUAAUGUCUGGGAAACUGCCUGAUGGAGGGGGAUAACUACUGGAAACGGUAGCUAAUACCGCAUAACGUCGCAAGACCAAAGUGGGGGACCUUCGGGCCUCAUGCCAUCAGAUGUGCCCAGAUGGGAUUAGCUAGUAGGUGGGGUAACGGCUCACCUAGGCGACGAUCCCUAGCUGGUCUGAGAGGAUGACCAGCCACACUGGAACUGAGACACGGUCCAGACUCCUACGGGAGGCAGCAGUGGGGAAUAUUGCACAAUGGGCGCAAGCCUGAUGCAGCCAUGCCGCGUGUGUGAAGAAGGCCUUCGGGUUGUAAAGCACUUUCAGCGGGGAGGAAGGCGUUAAGGUUAAUAACCUUGGCGAUUGACGUUACCCGCAGAAGAAGCACCGGCUAACUCCGUGCCAGCAGCCGCGGUAAUACGGAGGGUGCAAGCGUUAAUCGGAAUUACUGGGCGUAAAGCGCACGCAGGCGGUCUGUCAAGUCGGAUGUGAAAUCCCCGGGCUCAACCUGGGAACUGCAUUCGAAACUGGCAGGCUAGAGUCUUGUAGAGGGGGGUAGAAUUCCAGGUGUAGCGGUGAAAUGCGUAGAGAUCUGGAGGAAUACCGGUGGCGAAGGCGGCCCCCUGGACAAAGACUGACGCUCAGGUGCGAAAGCGUGGGGAGCAAACAGGAUUAGAUACCCUGGUAGUCCACGCCGUAAACGAUGUCGAUUUGGAGGUUGUGCCCUUGAGGCGUGGCUUCCGGAGCUAACGCGUUAAAUCGACCGCCUGGGGAGUACGGCCGCAAGGUUAAAACUCAAAUGAAUUGACGGGGGCCCGCACAAGCGGUGGAGCAUGUGGUUUAAUUCGAUGCAACGCGAAGAACCUUACCUGGUCUUGACAUCCACAGAACUUAGCAGAGAUGCUUUGGUGCCUUCGGGAACUGUGAGACAGGUGCUGCAUGGCUGUCGUCAGCUCGUGUUGUGAAAUGUUGGGUUAAGUCCCGCAACGAGCGCAACCCUUAUCCUUUGUUGCCAGCGGUCCGGCCGGGAACUCAAAGGAGACUGCCAGUGAUAAACUGGAGGAAGGUGGGGAUGACGUCAAGUCAUCAUGGCCCUUACGACCAGGGCUACACACGUGCUACAAUGGCAUAUACAAAGAGAAGCGACCUCGCGAGAGCAAGCGGACCUCAUAAAGUAUGUCGUAGUCCGGAUUGGAGUCUGCAACUCGACUCCAUGAAGUCGGAAUCGCUAGUAAUCGUAGAUCAGAAUGCUACGGUGAAUACGUUCCCGGACCU
This 1361-nucleotide ribosomal RNA is filed under the name uncultured bacterium. Its description in RNAcentral is "bacterial SSU rRNA". It matches the Rfam family "Bacterial small subunit ribosomal RNA", at positions 28 to 1381 of the family's 1533-position model. The record is from RNAcentral.